GACGAACGCUGGCGGCGUGCUUAACACAUGCAAGUCGAACGGAAAGGCCCUGCUUUUGUGGGGUGCUCGAGUGGCGAACGGGUGAGUAACACGUGAGUAACCUGCCCUUGACUUAGGGAUAACUUCAGGAAACUGGGGCUAAUACCGGAUAGGAGCUCCUGCUGCACGGGGGGGGUUGGAAAGUUUCGGCGGUUGGGGAUGGACUCGCGGCUUAUCAGCUUGUUGGUGGGGUAAUGGCUUACCAAGGCUUCGACGGGUAGCCGGCCUGAGAGGGUGACCGGCCACAUUGGGACUGAGGUACGGCCCAGACUCCUACGGGGGGCAGCAGUGGGGAAUAUUGCACAAUGGGCGGAAGCCUGAUGCAGCAACGCCGCGUGCGGAAUGACGGCCUUCGGGUUGUAAACCGCUUUCGCCUGUGACGAAGCGUGAGUGACGGUAAUGGGUAAAGAAGCACCGGCUAACUACGUG
Molecule: ribosomal RNA, 468 nt
Filed under: uncultured bacterium
Lineage: Bacteria
Description: partial 16S ribosomal RNA
Rfam family: Bacterial small subunit ribosomal RNA
Source: RNAcentral